GCCAACGUAGCUCAGUCGGUAGAGCAGCGCUUUCGUAAAGCGCGGGUCGUCAGUUCGAUUCUGACCGUUGGCUCCA
Molecule: transfer RNA, 76 nt
Filed under: Verrucomicrobia bacterium ADurb.Bin063
Lineage: Bacteria; Pseudomonadati; Verrucomicrobiota
Also listed under: 5 other names
Description: tRNA-Thr
Rfam family: tRNA
About the family: Transfer RNA (tRNA) molecules are approximately 80 nucleotides in length. Their secondary structure includes four short double-helical elements and three loops (D, anti-codon, and T loops). Further hydrogen bonds mediate the characteristic L-shaped molecular structure. tRNAs have two regions of fundamental functional importance: the anti-codon, which is responsible for specific mRNA codon recognition, and the 3' end, to which the tRNAs corresponding amino acid is attached (by aminoacyl-tRNA synthetases). tRNAs cope with the degeneracy of the genetic code in two manners: having more than one tRNA (with a specific anti-codon) for a particular amino acid; and 'wobble' base-pairing, i.e. permitting non-standard base-pairing at the 3rd anti-codon position.
Source: RNAcentral